Engraulis encrasicolus (European anchovy) is the source of this 429-nucleotide long non-coding RNA. RefSeq lists it as uncharacterized. NCBI's taxonomy places the organism in Eukaryota, Metazoa, Chordata, Actinopteri, Clupeiformes, Engraulidae. The transcript has 5 exons. The record is from RefSeq and is a predicted model, not a curated record.
CGAGAAGAGCAUGCGAGCUGCCUGCUGCCUACUUCCUACUCCUGCUGCUGCUGCUGCUGCUGUUGCAUUCAAAGUUGGGUAGCCAGCCACCCAUGAACGAUGACAAUGCCAGCAGCGGCCACCCAUGGGGAUGGACCCAGGAGUGGAGGAUGACCCAAUAGGAUGAAAGUUCAGCCCACUCACUGACACCAGUGACACAGUAUUGACCAGAUCUCCUGGAAGUGCCUCCUGACGCAGACCCAGUUGUUGGGUAGCCAGCCACACAUGCACGUUGACACAGCCAGCACCGAGCUCCCAGGGGGAUGGACCCAGGAGUGGAGGACGGCCCAAUAGGAUGAAAAAUCAUCCCACUCACUGUUGACACCAAUGAGGGAACAAGAGAGGCUAGGCAACCCCAUCUUUUGACAACGGUCACCACCACCACCUUGG